CUUGGUCAUUUAGAGGAAGUAAAAGUCGUAACAAGGUUUCCGUAGGUGAACCUGCGGAAGGAUCAUUCACAAACGAGUGUUUUAUGGCACUCUUUAAAAAUCCAUAUCCACCUUGUGUGCAAUGUUUGUUGGGAAAGUCUUUUCUUUCCCUUCAUAAAUAUCAACCUAUAUCUUUAACAACAUUCGUCUGAUAACAUAUUAUGAAUAUACUUAAUUCAAAAUAUAACUUUCAACAACGGAUCUCUUGGCUCUCGCAUCGAUGAAGAACGCAGCGAAAUGCGAUACGUAAUGUGAAUUGCAGAAUUCAGUGAAUCAUCGAAUCUUUGAACGCAUAUUGCGCUCUUUGGUAUUCCGAAGAGCAUGCUUGUUUGAGUAUCAGUAAACACCUCAACCUCUCUUUUUUGAUAAAAAAAAGGGAGGGUGGACUUGAGCUAUCCCAACGACCUUCACCGGUAGGCGGGCGGCUUGAAAUGCAGGUGCAGCUGGACUUUUAUCUGAGCUAAAAGCAUAUCUAUUUAGUCCUCGUCAGACAGGAUUAUUACUUUUGCUGCAGCUAACAUAAAGGAUAAUUGUCCUCUUUGCUGACUGGUGCAGGAUUUUACGACACUUUAUGUGUUGUUCAACUCGAUCUCAAAUCAAGUAAGACUACCCGCUGAACUUAAGCAUAUCAAUAAGCGGAGGAAAAGAAACUAACAAGGAUUCCCCUAGUAACGGCGAGUGAAGCGGGAUGAGCUCAAAUUUGAAAUCUGGCUGGUUUACUAGUCCGAGUUGUAAUUUAAAGAAGCGUUUUCGGUGGCAGCCUGGGUAUAAAUCCUUUGGAAUAGGGUAUCAUAGAGGGUGAGAAUCCCGUCUUUGACCUAGUGCAUGCUACUAUGUGAUACGUUUUCAAAGAGUCGAGUUGUUUGGGAAU
This 910-nucleotide small RNA is filed under the name uncultured Mortierella. RNAcentral describes it as "eukaryotic LSU rRNA". The stretch from base 626 to 910 matches the Rfam family "Eukaryotic large subunit ribosomal RNA", at positions 1 to 281 of the family's 3401-position model. Lineage: Eukaryota; Fungi; Mortierellomycota; Mortierellomycetes; Mortierellales; Mortierellaceae. The record is from RNAcentral.